This 468-nucleotide ribosomal RNA is filed under the name uncultured bacterium. RNAcentral's name for it is "partial 16S ribosomal RNA". It matches the Rfam family "Bacterial small subunit ribosomal RNA", at positions 28 to 507 of the family's 1533-position model. The record is from RNAcentral.
GACGAACGCUGGCGGCGUGCUUAACACAUGCAAGUCGUACGGAAAGGCCCUGCUGUUGUGGCGUGCUCGAGUGACGGACGGGUGAGUAACAAGUGAGUAACCUGCACUUGACUUUGGGAUAACUUAAGCUGACUCGGGCACAUACCAGAUAGGCGCUCCUCCUGCAUGGUGGGGGUUGGCUAGUUUCGGCGGUGGGGGACGGACUCGCGGCUUGUCUGUUGGUGGGUGGGGGAGUGGCUUACCAAGGCUUGGACGGGUAGCCGGCCUGAGAGGGUGACCGGCCACAUGGGGACGGAGUAACGGCCCAGACUCCUACGGGGGGCAGCAGUGGGGAAUAUGGCACAAUGGGCGGAAGCCGGAUGCAGCAACGCCGCGGGCGGAAGGACGGCCUUCGGUUGGUAAACCGUUUUCGCCGGUAACGAAGCGUUAGUGACGGUAAUUGGUGAAGAAGCACCGGCUAACUACGUG